GUGGGGAAUUUUGCGCAAUGGGGGAAACCCUGACGCAGCAACGCCGCGUGAGUGAUGAAGGCCUUCGGGUCGUAAAGCUCUGUCAGAGGGGAAGAAGUGUGGGGUGGCUAAUAUCCAUUUCACUUGACGGUACCUUCAAAGGAAGCACCGGCUAACUCCGUGCCAGCAGCCGCGGUAAUACGGAGGGUGCGAGCGUUGUUCGGAAUUAUUGGGCGUAAAGCGCGUGUAGGCGGUUUUUUAAGUCUGAUGUGAAAGCCCUGGGCUCAACCCGGGAAGUGCAUUGGAAACUGGGAGACUUGAAUACGGGAGAGGGCAGUGGAAUUCCUGGUGUAGGAGUGAAAUCCGUAGAUAUCAGGAGGAACACCGGUGGCGAAGGCGGCUGCCUGGACCGAUAUUGACGCUGAGACGCGAAAGCGUGGGGAGCAAACAGGAUUAGAAACCCGAGUAGUCC
RNAcentral lists this ribosomal RNA (451 nucleotides) under uncultured bacterium. RNAcentral describes it as "partial 16S ribosomal RNA". It matches the Rfam family "Bacterial small subunit ribosomal RNA", at positions 354 to 796 of the family's 1533-position model. The record is from RNAcentral.